CAGUCGCCGCGGGAAUACAGAGGGUGCGAGCGUUAAUCGGAUUUACUGGGCGUAAAGCGUGCGUAGGCGGCUUCUUAAGUCGGAUGUGAAAUCCCUGAGCUUAACUUAGGAAUUGCAUUCGAUACUGGGAAGCUAGAGUAUGGGAGAGGAUGGCAGAAUUCCAGGUGUAGCGGUGAAAUGCGUAGAGAUCUGGAGGAAUACCGAUGGCGAAGGCAGCCAUCUGGCCUAAUACUGACGCUGAGGUACGAAAGCAUGGGGAGCAAACAGGAUUAGAUACCCGAGUAGUCCCUGUCUCUUAUAC
This 301-nucleotide ribosomal RNA is filed under the name uncultured bacterium. RNAcentral describes it as "partial 16S ribosomal RNA". It matches the Rfam family "Bacterial small subunit ribosomal RNA", at positions 509 to 807 of the family's 1533-position model. The record is from RNAcentral.